Molecule: ribosomal RNA, 120 nt
Filed under: uncultured bacterium
Lineage: Bacteria
Description: partial 16S ribosomal RNA
Rfam family: Bacterial small subunit ribosomal RNA
Source: RNAcentral
AACGAACGCUGGCGGCGUGCCUAACACAUGCAAGUCGAACGAGAAAGGGGCUUCGGCCCUGAGUAAAGUGGCGCACGGGUGAGUAACACGUGGGUAACCUGCCUCUGAGAUUGGGAUAAC